AUGGAGCAUGACUUGGUUAAGGCAAGAAAUAUGAAGCUGGUUUUAUGCCUAUUUGAACAAUUGACCGGGUUAAAGAUAAACUUUCAUAAGAGCGAGCUGUUCUGUUUUGGUAGGGCCAAAGAUGAACAGGACGCUUAUAGGCAAUUGUUUGGAUGUGAGUUGGGAGAGCUACCUUUCUCAUACUUGGGGAUUCCUAUCCACCAUCGUAGGCUAACAAACAGAGAAUGGAAGUGCAUUGAGGACCGAUUUAAGAAGAAACUGAGCUGCUGGAAGGGCAAGCUCAUGUCAUAUGGAGGCCGGUUAAUCCUAAUUAACUCGGUACUCACAAGUUUGCCGAUGUUUCUUCUUUCGUUCUUUGAGGUACCAGUUGGUGUUAGGAAGAGACUGGACUUCUAUAGAUCGCGGUUCUUCUGGCAGGGUGAUGAGCUUAAAAGAAAAUAUAGGCUUGCUAAGUGGGAUAUCAUUUGUAGACCGAAGGACCAAGGGGGUCUAGGUAUUGAGAAUCUCGAAAUUAAGAAUAAAUGCCUUCUUAGCAAGUGGUUGUGGAAGCUUUCGUCGGAGACUGAUGCUAUGUGGGCACAGAUCCUUCGCGGCAAGUACCUCCAGUCAAAAACUUUGUCACAGGUAUCUGUAAGGCCGACUGACUCGCCUUUCUGGAAGGGUCUCAUGAAGGUCAAGCAGGCAUUGUUUAAUAGGACAAAGUUCGUUGUUGGAAACGGCACAAGUACACGUUUCUGGGAGGAUACUUGGCUCGGUGACACACCCUUGGCCAUCCAAUAUCCCUCUUUGUAUCGCAUUGUU
Molecule: ribosomal RNA, 801 nt
Filed under: Triticum aestivum (bread wheat)
Lineage: Eukaryota; Viridiplantae; Streptophyta; Magnoliopsida; Poales; Poaceae
Description: partial small subunit ribosomal RNA
Source: RNAcentral